GACGAACGCUGGCGGUGUGCUUAACACAUGCAAGUGGUGCGACGAACCAGAGCUUGCUCUGGGGCAAAGCCGCGAACGGGUGAGUAACACGUGGGUAAUCUACCCCGAUGACCGGGACAACCCGAGGAAACUCGGGCUAAUACCGGAUGUGGUACGGAGACAUAAGUCUCUUUACUAAAGGUAGCUUCGGCUUCCGCAUUGGGAGGGGCCCGCGGCCCAUUAGCUAGUUGGUGGGGUCAAGGCCUACCAAGGCAACGAUGGGUAGCUGAUCUGAGAGGACGAUCAGCCACACUGGGACUGAGACACGGCCCAGACUCCUACGGGAGGCAGCAGUGGGGAAUCUUGCGCAAUGCGCGAAAGCGUGACGCAGCAACACCGCGUGAGGGAAGACGGCCUUAGGGUUGUAAACCUCUUUCAGAUGGGACGAAGGUGAUGCGGUGAAUAGCCGAUGUCAUUGACGGUACCGUCAGAAGAAGCUCCGGCUAACUACGUGCCAGCAGCCGCGUAAU
This 509-nucleotide ribosomal RNA is filed under the name uncultured bacterium. RNAcentral describes it as "bacterial SSU rRNA". It matches the Rfam family "Bacterial small subunit ribosomal RNA", at positions 28 to 524 of the family's 1533-position model. The record is from RNAcentral.